GUACACGCUGUGACUAGCAUAUCAAUAAGCGGAGGAAAAGAAACUAACAAGGAUUCCCCUAGUAACGGCGAGUGAAGCGGGAAGAGCUCAAAUUUGAAAUCUUAAAGGGUUUCCCUUUACGAAUUGUAGUUUAAAGAAGUGUCUUCUGUUGAGGUUUUGGUAAAAGUUCUUUGGAAUAGGACAUCAUAGAGGGUGAGAAUCCCGUAUUUGACCUUUACUUUCAACUUUGUGAUACACUUUCAAAGAGUCGGAUUGUUUGGGAAUGCAGUCCAAAAUGGGUGGUAAAUUUCAUCUAAAGCUAAAUAUUGGCGAGAGACCGAUAGCGAACAAGUACCGUGAGGGAAAGAUGAAAAGAACUUUGAAAAGAGAGUUAAACAGUACGUGAAAUUGUCAAAAGGGAAGCGUUUGACACCAGUGUUGUUUUUCCGAAAAUCAAUUAAAGAACUGUUUAUGCUAAGCUGUUUAGACUUUAUCAGCUAAUCUGUUUAGUUUUGAGCUUUUCUUUAAUGCACUUUUCAGUUAACAAGUCAACAUCAAUUUCUUUUGCUGUAAAAAAGCUUGAGGAAGGUGGCUUGAGAUUCGUCUUAAGUGUUUAUAGCCUCUUGCCUAUGCAGUCGGAGAGAUUGAGGUCUGCAGCGUAGAUCCUUCGGGGCUAAAUGCAUUUGUGCUAAGUUAUAGCAUUUUAUAGACAACUUGUUGACUAUGAUUUGUCUUGUAGCUUACUCGCUUAUGUUAUUUUACCUACGCUUAGGAUGUUGAGUCGUAGAGCACGCAG
Molecule: ribosomal RNA, 775 nt
Filed under: uncultured Neocallimastigales
Lineage: Eukaryota; Fungi; Neocallimastigomycota; Neocallimastigomycetes; Neocallimastigales
Description: partial large subunit ribosomal RNA
Rfam family: Eukaryotic large subunit ribosomal RNA
Source: RNAcentral